Molecule: long non-coding RNA, 234 nt
Filed under: Prunus persica (peach)
Lineage: Eukaryota; Viridiplantae; Streptophyta; Magnoliopsida; Rosales; Rosaceae
Description: long non-coding RNA (PPER_LNC004790)
Source: RNAcentral
ACUAAUUGCAUCGUUUAAUUUCCUUAUUUGAUUUAAGAGCAUUGCUAGUGUUUCUGUUUUGAAUUAUUUGAAGGCCGGAGGCCUAUAUGUAAACUGUAUGAUUUAUCUGAUGCAUGCUACCAGUUGUGGAUAAACUGUGUUUGUUUAACUUAACAGGUUGGAAAAUUUGAUAACGUCCGUUUUACAGGGGAGAUUCUGCCGAAAUUUUGGGCAAGAAGUCUCAUGCCCCUUUCC